This 62-nucleotide transfer RNA is filed under the name Niptus hololeucus. RNAcentral's name for it is "tRNA-Gly". The record is from RNAcentral. Lineage: Eukaryota; Metazoa; Arthropoda; Insecta; Coleoptera; Ptinidae.
AUUUGUAUAGUAUAAUAAUUAUAUUUAACUUCCAAUUAAAUGAUCCAUUAAUGGUACAAAUA